AACGAACGCUGGCGGCAGGCCUAACACAUGCAAGUCGAACGCCCUAGCAGUAGGGAGUGGCAGACGGGUGAGUAACACGUGGGAACCUUCCCUAUAGUACGGAAUAGCCCAGGGAAACUUGGGGUAAUACCGUAUACGCCCGUGAGGGGAAAGAUUUAUCGCUAUAGGAUGGGCCCGCGUAGGAUUAGCUAGUUGGUGAGGUAAUGGCUCACCAAGGCGACGAUCCUUAGCUGGUCUGAGAGGACGACCAGCCACACUGGGACUGAGACACGGCCCAGACUCCUACGGGAGGCAGCAGUGGGGAAUAUUGGACAAUGGGCGCAAGCCUGAUCCAGCCAUGCCGCGUGAGUGGUGAAGGCCUUAGGGUUGUAAAGCUCUUUUGUCGGGGACGAUAAUGACGGUACCCGAAGAAUAAGUCCCGGCUAACUUCGUGCCAGCAGCCGCCGUAA
Molecule: ribosomal RNA, 449 nt
Filed under: uncultured bacterium
Lineage: Bacteria
Description: partial 16S ribosomal RNA
Rfam family: Bacterial small subunit ribosomal RNA
Source: RNAcentral